This 383-nucleotide ribosomal RNA is filed under the name uncultured eukaryote. RNAcentral describes it as "partial 18S ribosomal RNA". It matches the Rfam family "Eukaryotic small subunit ribosomal RNA", at positions 592 to 976 of the family's 1831-position model. The record is from RNAcentral.
CAAUAGCGUAUAUUAAAGUUGUUGCAGUUAAAAAGCUCGUAGUUGAAUUUCUGGUAGGAGUGACCGUUCCGAACUUGAUUGUUCGUGUAUUGUGUUUUCUCCAGCCAUCCUUGUGGAGAACUUUUCUUGCAUUAAUUUGUAGGGAUUGGGACCCGCAUCGUUUACUGUGAAAAAAUUAGAGUGUUUAAAGCAGGCAAUCGCUUGAAUACAUUAGCAUGGAAUAAUAAGAUAGGACUUUGGUACUAUUUUGUUGGUUUGCAUACCAAAUUAAUGAUCAACAGGAACAGUUUGAGGAUAUUCGUAUGAACAUGUCAGAGGUGAAAUUCUUGGAUUUUGAUCAGACGAACUACUGCGAAAGCAUUUAUCAAGGAUGUUUUCAUUAA